This is a long non-coding RNA of Astatotilapia calliptera (eastern happy), 1427 nucleotides long. NCBI's taxonomy places the organism in Eukaryota, Metazoa, Chordata, Actinopteri, Cichliformes, Cichlidae. The record is from Ensembl.
AUGGACUACACCAUGGUCAUCACAGGAAAUAGCAGAUUGAAACUGUCUUUAAAGGGCACACCAGCGACUUUACUCAAGAUGUUUAGUUUGGUUGUGGAAGGUAAACUUUAUGUCUUCUAUAGUUGUAUAAUUUCUGAAAUGAGCCAAAGCAAGAAUUAAAAUCUGAAUAUCUUGGUUGCUUUAUUUCAGUCGUAGUUUGGAUGAAGAAGAAUUUCCAGGAAGUGCAACGGAUAAAUUGAUCUCUUUUUCAGAAUGGAAACAUGCAAAAGUGUUACAAUCCCUGGGUGUUUUGAGUUUUGUUUAAACUUUGCAUUUCUUAGUUUCUCUGUUUAUUGAUAGUCUAAAGGUUUGUUUCACACCUAGUUUACUUCUGGGCUUUAGUUUAUUUUGUGUUCCUUGAAUUCCUUUUGUUCCCAUGUCUGGUCUAGCUCCAUUUGUGUUUUUGUCUUGCAAUCCCUUGUGCCGAGUUAGGUGUUAUUCCUCAGUGUCUUGUUCUUGUUUUCUCUAUGUUGCUUAGUUUUCUCAUUUGUGUUUUUUUUUUUUUUUUUUUUAUCAGUUAAGAUUGUUUCGUAUUCCUUCUUUGACCUGUCAUUCUUCCCUUGUGUUCUCAUGCCUUGUCUAAUUUUCGCCUGUCUUUGAUUCUGUGUUUAGUAAUUUCCUGAUUAAUUUUGAUGGUCUUGUGCUUGGUAUUGAGUUUUGCCUCCCCUGUCUCAUUAAUCCUGAUUUACUUCCUUAUGUGUUCCUUUGCGUCCCCAUCUUAUCUUUGUCCUAUUGUCUUUCCAUGUUCUAGUCUUCCUGUUCUGCUCUAUGUUAGCUCGUGUUUCCUGUUCAGUUGUGUCUUCCAGCUUUCCUGUGCUUCCUAUGACUCAUGUCAUUUACUUCCUCGCCUCACCUAGUGGUCCCUUUAAUUUAUAUUAUGUGUUUUUGAAGCUGCAGCAUUAAAGCUAUUAUGUGAGUUCACACCUGGCUUCUCAAACUUUCCAUUUGGGUCUGCAACCUGUUCAGCGCACAGCACUAGAUGAUAAAAAGGUUGUUAUGAGUGUGUUUGUGUAGAAAUGUCUCAGACUCUAAAAUUAUGCUUUUGUAACUGUUGUAGUAGACUCAAAGCAGUUUGCAAACUGAUCAAAACUUUCAUAUAAUGAGUCAUGUUUAUUGAACUGGGUUAUAGUUCUUCCAUGUGGCUGUUUGUUAGAUUUAGGUAACAAGGCACUUCAUUAGGUAUAAGACAAAAAGUCAAGUUGUAUAGAUGUCUAAAGGGAAAACGCCCUUCAGCCCCCUUAGUCUUACACAUCACUUUCCAGGUAAGUUAAAUAUCACAAAUUUCAUGCUUCUACAUUAUAGUUCUGUUACAGUGCUAUGCAGUCAAACCGUGUCAGAGACACAUUCACACUACAGCUAAUUUAGAUAGACCAAUUAAUCCAACACCA